UGGGGAAUAUUGGACAAUGGGCGAAAGCCUGAUCCAGCCAUGCCGCGUGUGUGAAGAAGGUCUUCGGAUUGUAAAGCACUUUAAGUUGGGAGGAAGGGCAGUAAGCGAAUACCUUGCUGUUUUGACGUUACCGACAGAAUAAGCACCGGCUAACUCUGUGCCAGCAGCCGCGGUAAUACAGAGGGUGCAAGCGUUAAUCGGAAUUACUGGGCGUAAAGCGCGCGUAGGUGGUUCGUUAAGUUGAAUGUGAAAGCCCCGGGCUCAACCUGGGAACUGCAUCCAAAACUGGCGAGCUAGAGUAGGGCAGAGGGUGGUGGAAUUUCCUGUGUAGCGGUGAAAUGCGUAGAUAUAGGAAGGAACACCAGUGGCGACGGCGACCACCUGGGCUCAUACUGACACUGAGGUGCGAAAGCGUGGGGAGCAAACAGG
RNAcentral lists this ribosomal RNA (429 nucleotides) under Pseudomonadota bacterium. RNAcentral describes it as "Proteobacteria bacterium partial 16S ribosomal RNA". It matches the Rfam family "Bacterial small subunit ribosomal RNA", at positions 355 to 776 of the family's 1533-position model. The record is from RNAcentral. Lineage: Bacteria; Pseudomonadati; Pseudomonadota.